UCUCUCCGUGAAGAAGCGGGGAUACUCCUAUAAGACGAAAAGACCCCAUGGAGCUUCAAACCCAACUACACCCUUAACUACCACAACCGCACAACCUCUUAGGGCCCUGUAUAGUUGGUUUUAGGUUGGGGCGACCACGGAGUACAACCAAACCUCCGCAAUGGACGGGACCACUCCCUUAUCUAAGAGCCACACCUCUAAGAAUUAAAACACUAACAUAAAAUGAUCCAUGAUCUGAUCAAUGAACCAAGUUACCCUGGGGAUAACAGCGCAAUCCAUUUCAAGAGCCCUUAUCGACAAGUGGGUUUACNACCUCGAUGUUGGAUCAGGGUAUCCUAGUGGUGCAGCAGCUACUAAUGGUUCGUUUGUUCAACGAUUAAAACCCU
RNAcentral lists this ribosomal RNA (386 nucleotides) under Mantidactylus opiparis. Its description in RNAcentral is "partial 16S ribosomal RNA". It matches the Rfam family "Bacterial large subunit ribosomal RNA", at positions 2048 to 2597 of the family's 2925-position model. The record is from RNAcentral. Lineage: Eukaryota; Metazoa; Chordata; Amphibia; Anura; Mantellidae.